AACGGCACAAUCCGAGGACAACACGACAACAUCGUUCGUGUUUCUGCCUUCUGGUAGUUCCGAAGAUUU
This is a small nucleolar RNA of 69 nucleotides. It matches the Rfam family "Trypanosomatid snoRNA TB9Cs1H2".